CAACUGCCACUCUGCAACUGCCACUCUGUAACUGCCACUCUGCAAGGCUUCCCACAGGGGCUGUCAAAGUAGUCAGCUGUCUCUGCAAUUGUUUAAGUUUGAGAAUCUGUGUUGGGUACUUCCUAUAUAGCCAGGUGGUCUUAGAUGGCUCCUGUGAAAGGGAUCGCAACCCACCCACCUGUUGAGAACCCCUGAUCUAGCUUCCAGAGGCCCCUCCCUGAGCUUAUGGUGACAAUUGCUGCAGAGAGGAGACUCUCAACAGUGUGGAUGAGUUGCUGGCAAGUUGUGCUAGGAGCCAAAAGGAUGCAGCUUUCGUGAGUCAUCACGGUAGACGACGAGACAUUUUGAUGAUGUGGGACUCUGACUCACCUGCACUCCUGUAACUAACCCCUCACCUAGACUCCAAGAAACCCCAGGAAACUCACUCGUUUGUCUAGCUGCCCUUAUCUGGAAUCCUUCCUUUGUUCUGUUUUUGGUGUCUUCUCUGGGCUGAACAAUGUUUGUUCCCAUGGCCCCAGAAAAAGCCAUACAACACAAGGUUAGACUUUAUGGUGAGACUCCACUGAGAAAAGGCUGCCCGGAGGGUGUGAGGAGAGGCUGACAGCAGCAUCGAUGAAGAGAUU
This is a long non-coding RNA of Mus musculus (house mouse), 623 nucleotides long. RefSeq annotates it as predicted gene, 42279. Lineage: Eukaryota; Metazoa; Chordata; Mammalia; Rodentia; Muridae. The transcript is spliced from 3 exons. The record is from RefSeq and is a predicted model, not a curated record.